Molecule: ribosomal RNA, 482 nt
Filed under: uncultured bacterium
Lineage: Bacteria
Description: partial 16S ribosomal RNA
Rfam family: Bacterial small subunit ribosomal RNA
Source: RNAcentral
GACGAACGCUGGCGGCGUGCUUAACACAUGCAAGUCGAACGAUGAACCGGAGCUUGCUCUGGGGAUUAGUGGCGAACGGGUGAGUAACACGUGGGCAACCUGCCCCAGACACCGGGAUAACCAUUCGAAAGGAUGGCUAAUACCGGAUACGACCACUUCGGGCAUCCGAUGGUGGUGGAAAGGAUUCUGGUCUGGGAUGGGCCCGCGGCCUAUCAGCUUGUUGGUGGGGUAAUGGCCUACCAAGGCGACGACGGGUAGCCGGCCUGAGAGGGGGACCGGCCACACUGGGACUGAGACACGGCCCAGACUCCUACGGGAGGCAGCAGUGGGGAAUAUUGCGCAAUGGGCGAAAGCCUGACGCAGCGACGCCGCGUGAGAGACGAAGGUCUUCGGAUUGUAAACCUCUUUCAGCAGGGAUGAAGCGAAAGUGACAGUACCUGCAGAAGAAGCACCGGCUAACUACGUGCCAGCCGCCGCGGUAA